RNAcentral lists this ribosomal RNA (268 nucleotides) under uncultured prokaryote. Its description in RNAcentral is "partial 16S ribosomal RNA". It matches the Rfam family "Bacterial small subunit ribosomal RNA", at positions 355 to 640 of the family's 1533-position model. The record is from RNAcentral.
UGGGGAAUAUUGCACAAUGGGGGAAACCCUGAUGCAGCAACGCCGCGUGAGUGAUGACGGCCUUCGGGUUGUAAAGCUCUGUCUUCAGGGACGAUAAUGACGGUACCUGAGGAGGAAGCCACGGCUAACUACGUGCCAGCAGCCGCGGUAAUACGGAGGUGGCGAGCGUUGUCCGGCUUUACUGGGCGUAAAGGGAGCGUAGGCGGACUUUUAAGUGAGAUGGGAAAUACCCGGGCUCAACGUGGGUGCUGCAUUUCAAACUGGAAGU